ACGGAAGCCGAGACUGCGCUUCGUGCGAGGCCCGGGCACCAGCGGCGGCGUGGUCAGAGCGAGCCUCGCAGAAGCUGCGGUGGUUUCCGUGUGUUGGUGGAGGAACAGGCAGGUGUUGGUGGAGGAACAGGCAGAUCUCGGCGGACAACCAAGUCCCUGCAUAUCUCCUCUGGACACCACAGGUUAAACCUUCCAAGAGAUAGCAACAAUUGUCAAAACCUCUUCACCUUGAUAGCAAGGAAGGAGGAAGGACCCUGAAGACCUUUGAUGCCCCCUUUUCAGCAGCAGAAAUGAGAAGAUGAGAAUAUAAGUGCUUUAGAGUCAUGAAAUGUUGCCAAUGGGUGAAAAAAGAAAACGAAAAAUAAUUUUGUAACCGUUAAGCAUGAUGAAAAUGUAAAUGUCAGCUUUUACCAGCAAAAUCAGGUAGUAAGUCAUUUUACAAGAUGACAGUGAAAGAGUAUACAAAUGAAGAUGUAGUGCCAGAGAAUAUUUUUGAGGAGGGAACACAUAAGCAAUCAAGUGCAGGAUCUGGCCAGCUGUUCCAGAUGCUGACACAGGAACAAGCUACAUGUGGGACCACGGCCAGACCAGAAAUGUCACCUUGAGAGGAAUGUGGUGGUGCCCAGGUGAGGAUGUCCGUGGCACUGAAGCCCCAGAGAAGGGUAACCCAGAGAAGAGAGCCAAAGUGGAAUGUGGGGUCUACAUUCUACAACACCAGGGACAGAGCAACUAUGGAUGAAGAGGGCUACAUCUGGUUCCUGGGGAGGAGUCAUGACACUAUCAAUGCCUCUGGGUAGGUGUGGCUGACGCCAGGCUGGCUGUUGUUGUCCUCACAUGCCUUAUGGGAUCUUGCUUGCCCAGACAGUCUUUCAUGCAUUGGUAACAGGACCCUCAGCCCAAUUUGAAUACAGCCAUGUCUACAGUGCCCUGAUCCCAAGUUUUGGUGCACCUCCCUAACCCCUGCAUACAGAAGACUCAAUAAAAAUGAAAUUCAAGAGGGUCUUAAAGACAUAAUAAGACACUGUGCAAUUUAGAGAAGGGGGAAUGAGAUUGAGAAGGGAGACUCUGUCUUGGUCCCCAUAGGUUUGGGGAGCUUAUUUCAUGUUUGUGCUCCUCUAAUACAGCACAAGAUGUCACAGAACAAACAUACUAAUAAUAAUAACUAACCUUUAGCUAUUGUUUAUUUUUUAUUAUUAUGAAUAUAUUUAUUAUAAAUCUAUGAAUACAAUAAAUCUAUUAAGAUAGAUUAUCAUAAAUCUAUUAUUAUAAUUAUUUAGCUAACCUGGAGUACUAUGUGAAAACACUGUUCUUAAUUCUUUGUAUAACUCACCUCUCAAUGCUGGAAGGGAGAUGCGAUUAUUACCCCUAUUUUACUGAUGAGGAAACUGGGUGACUGACCAGUGAAGAAAUUUGCCUGAAGUCUCAAAGAUAGCACAGGGUGCAAUCCAGAUAUGAACUGAGGCAGGCUGGCUCUGAGCCUCUGUCCCUAACCCCUACAUGAUUUUUUAAAAGAUACAUUACACUACAGUAACAAUUUCUCUUGGAUAUUUUAGAGAAAUGGAUGUGAUUUUUUUUUAAUUUCUAAAACAUGAUGUACUGGAAAUUUGCAGAGAGUAGAUUUUAAAUGCUCUUACCACAAAAGAAAAAAAGAGGUAAUUAUGUGAGAUAAUGGAUAUACUGGUGCCUGAGUGUAGUAAUCGUGUUACUAUGUAUAUAUACAUCAAAACAUCAUGUUUUAUGCCUUGAAUAUAUAUAAUAAAAGCCAAAAAUCAUGCUGAUACAAUGGGAAAUAGUGUGCAGAAUUUGCACAAAUGUUUAAGACCAAGUUUGAGGUUUCCAAGAGAUUUUGUGUCUGGCGAAGCUGCAUGGCCCAAGGGCCCAGGGAACUAAGCAUUCGCCCUUCUUUGUUAAUAAAGGCAGUGAGGCGAGAA
RNAcentral lists this long non-coding RNA (1931 nucleotides) under Macaca mulatta (Rhesus monkey). RNAcentral's name for it is "lncRNA (ENSMMUG00000058917.1)". The record is from RNAcentral. Lineage: Eukaryota; Metazoa; Chordata; Mammalia; Primates; Cercopithecidae.